This 171-nucleotide ribosomal RNA is filed under the name Nectriaceae sp. Its description in RNAcentral is "partial large subunit ribosomal RNA". The record is from RNAcentral. Lineage: Eukaryota; Fungi; Ascomycota; Sordariomycetes; Hypocreales; Nectriaceae.
CCUUCUGGUUCGUGCACUCGGCCGGCUGCCGUGCCAGCAUCGGUUGUCGCGGCGGGAGAAAGGCUUUGGGAAUGUGGCUCCUCCGGGAGUGUUAUAGCCCAUUGUGUAAUACCCUGUGGUGGACUGAGGUUCGCGCAUCUGCAAGGAUGCUGGCGUAAUGGUCAUCAGCGA